RNAcentral lists this long non-coding RNA (1664 nucleotides) under Homo sapiens (human). Its description in RNAcentral is "HSALNT0077003". The record is from RNAcentral. Lineage: Eukaryota; Metazoa; Chordata; Mammalia; Primates; Hominidae.
AAUACAUUCCAGAAGGAGGGAAGGAAAUCCUGGGCGUAUGAAUGAGAUUCUACGGCCUGCGUGGAGCGGCGCUCUGGGCUGCUCCUCCCAUCCCCGCAUGGAAAGUUAGGCGUUUCUAGCCACAUUAAUUCAUCCUAAAGGAAAAGAGGCGACAGCGGAGCAGCGUGCGCGCGGGGGAAAACACCCGCCCACGCGUGCCUUCGCCAACGCAAAGACGCAGCUCACACCCGUAACCGAGGAAGAGGGAGGCUCCCGCCGCGCUCACUUCCUGCGGGAGAGAGGAAAGACAUCUUGCGGCAGGGAGGCCGGUGGCAGUUCCGCCCCUGGACCGGCCGGCAGCGGAGCGCACCCCGCCGCCACCUACGUGGCGCUGCCUGCUCGGGUGGCGCAGCGAGUAAAGGCCACCCCCGCCGUGCCCCGCGGUCCCCGGCCUUCCCACGGACGCCUGGCCCGGCCCGGGCGAGGGGCGACCGGGGUGAAGCCCGCCGCGCCCCGGGCCCUGCGGCAGGGCGACUCCGGGAGGCACAGGGCGCGCGAGGUGCAGGGGCGCGCAGGCCGCCGCCGGGUCACCCACCUUUCGCACUCUGCGGGCCGUGUAGAGCCCCAUGCCGUCCUGAACCCGGGAGGACUUCAGGGAGAACCUGUCCGGCACGUACAUGCCCAGCAUUUUCCCGGGCGCGGCGGCCGCCGCCUCUCUCAACACCGGCGCUUAGCGCCCGGCAGGCGGCACAUCGAAAUUUGGGGUGCCAGGGUAGAGGGGAGAAACCGGCAGGGAAGGAGGAAAUGGAGUUUUCCUCCCAGAAUCCCCACCUCCCUGCCGAUUCCAGGAUCCCCCGCGGCUCAGCCCCUCCUCGUCCCGGGUCGGGCUCGGCCCGGAUCCGUUCCUGCCAUUCCUGCUGCGGGGGCGCGGGGGGCGCGGGCCUGGGCGCUGCGGGCGCCGGGACGCCGCUCGCUGAUUGGCCCGAAGUUGGCGGCUCUGACCCGCGCCCGGGCGCGAAGCCCGGAGCAGGGCUGACCCCAGGGCCUCAAACCCGGAGGCCCGCGAGCUGCGCGGGCCGUCAGCACCCCUAGCCCCGGCGCGGCGGCGUGCGUUCCCGCCUUUGUCCAGCUCUGGGUUUUCAAACCUUGCCCCGCUGAACCAUUACUCCCUGUAGGGGAGUCUCGCUUGCUUCUCUUCAGAUGCAAAACGAAAUGGACCUUCACACAGCUGGGGCAUCCUCCAAAACAACUUUAUCAAGUUCCUGACUCUGAAAGCCAGCUUAUUGCCGACUACUGAGAACGAACCCUGCGGUCUAGGAAAUUUCCGUGCUUCUCACAUUUGAGUUAUGCGUCUUUGCUUUUUUUCACGUUUGUUGCAGAGGCUAGAACUUAAUAAGGGAUCGCAAAGUAUGUUGAUUAACGUACGGAAAAAUAUGUUGCAAACAAUUUAAUGUUUUAAGCACUAGAAACUAGAUAUUUUAUGGUAACAUAACCUCUGGGAAGUUCUUAUACUUCUCAAGGUACAAUAUUCCUGAGACCUCCCUUGCUUGAUAAUCAUUAGACGUAUUACGGAUUUUCAGACAUACGGAAGUGGAUUUGUGGGAGACAGGAGGGGACACCCAAACAAUAGCAUCUGGUGUCACAACAAUGCAAUAAAGUCACAAGUCUUGUUUUAGUGUUUUUAA